UGCAAGUCGAACGGUAGCACAGAGAGCUUGCUCUCGGGUGACGAGUGGCGGACGGGUGAGUAAUGUCUGGGAAACUGCCCGAUGGAGGGGGAUAACUACUGGAAACGGUAGCUAAUACCGCAUAACGUCGCAAGACCAAAGAGGGGGACCUUCGGGCCUCUUGCCAUCAGAUGUGCCCUGAUGGGAUUAGCUAGUAGGUGGGGUAACGGCUCACCUAGGCGACGAUCCCUAGCUGGCCUGAGAGGAUGACCAGCCACACUGGAACUGAGACACGGUCCAGACUCCUACGGGAGGCAGCAGUGGGGAAUAUUGCACAAUGGGCGCAAGCCUGAUGCAGCCAUGCCGCGUGUAUGAAGAAGGCCUUCGGGUUGUAAAGUACUUUCAGCGGGGAGGAAGGUGUUGCGGUUAAUAACCGCAGCAAUUGACGUUACCCGCAGAAGAAGCACCGGCUAACUCCGUGCCAGCAGCCGCGGUAAUACGGAGGGUGCAAGCGUUAAUCGGAAUUACUGGGCGUAAAGCGCACGCAGGCGGUCUGUCAAGUCGGAUGUGAAAUCCCCGGGCUCAACCUGGGAACUGCAUUCGAAACUGGCAGGCUAGAGUCUUGUAGAGGGGGGUAGAAUUCCAGGUGUAGCAGUGAAAUGCGUAGAGAUCUGGAGGAAUACCGGUGGCGAAGGCGGCCCCCUGGACAAAGACUGACGCUCAGGUGCGAAAGCGUGGGGAGCAAACAGGAUUGGAUACCCUGGUAGUCCACGCCGUAAACGAUGUCGACUUGGAGGUUGUGCCCUUGAGGCGUGGCUUCCGGAGCUAACGCGUUAAGUCGACCGCCUGGGGAGUACGGCCGCAAGGUUAAAACUCAAAUGAAUUGACGGGGGCCCGCACAAGCGGUGGAGCAUGUGGUUUAAUUCGAUGCGACGCGAAGAACCUUACCUACUCUUGACAUCCAGA
RNAcentral lists this ribosomal RNA (945 nucleotides) under uncultured Gammaproteobacteria bacterium. Its description in RNAcentral is "bacterial SSU rRNA". It matches the Rfam family "Bacterial small subunit ribosomal RNA", at positions 56 to 992 of the family's 1533-position model. Lineage: Bacteria; Pseudomonadati; Pseudomonadota; Gammaproteobacteria. The record is from RNAcentral.